Non-coding RNA from Vicia faba (fava bean), 214 nucleotides. The record is from the annotation of a GenBank genome assembly. Lineage: Eukaryota; Viridiplantae; Streptophyta; Magnoliopsida; Fabales; Fabaceae.
AUGAAUGGAGGACCGACCGACCCGGGUUUUAAUGAGCGUUGGCGGGUCCUGGAGUUCCUGUCAAGGGCGCUAGCGCAUACCCCGGGAACGCAGCAGCGAGGGACAACCCGCCCAUACAGCCAGCGGGGAGGAUGGCACUACUGGCAAAGACCGUCCGGCGAAAACGCUGUAGGCGCGAAGCGUGGUAGGCCUGUGCCGGGGGAGCAUAACAUAG